This 469-nucleotide ribosomal RNA is filed under the name uncultured bacterium. RNAcentral describes it as "bacterial SSU rRNA". It matches the Rfam family "Bacterial small subunit ribosomal RNA", at positions 365 to 824 of the family's 1533-position model. The record is from RNAcentral.
UUCGCAAUGCCCGAAAGGGUGACGAAGCGACGCCGCGUGGGUGAAGAAGGCCUUUGGGUUGUAAAACCCUGUCAGGAGUUAUGAAAUGUAAGUGCGCUAAUAUCGUGCUUAUUUGACAAAGGCUCCAAAGGAAGCCACGGCUAACUCUGUGCCAGCAGCCGCGGUAAUACAGAGGUGGCGAGCGUUGUUCGGAAUUAUUGGGCGUAAAGAGCACGUAGGUGGGUUUGCAAGUCAGAUGUGAAAGCCUUCUGUUCAACGGGAGAAUUGCAUCUGAAACUGCUAAUCUUGAGUGUAGGAGGGGAGAAUGGAACUUCUGGUGGAGCGGUGAAAUGCGUAGAUAUCAGAAGGAACGCCGGCGGCGAAAGCGAUUCUCUGGCCUAUUACUGACACUCAGUGUGCGAAAGCUAGGGGAGCAAACGGGAUUAGAUACCCCGGUAGUCCUAGCCGUAAACGAUGGGCACUAAGUAGA